This 402-nucleotide ribosomal RNA is filed under the name bacterium. RNAcentral's name for it is "partial 16S ribosomal RNA". It matches the Rfam family "Bacterial small subunit ribosomal RNA", at positions 355 to 776 of the family's 1533-position model. The record is from RNAcentral.
UGGGGAAUUUUGCACAAUGGGGGAAACCCUGAUGCAGCGACGCCGCGUGAUUUAGAAGGCCUUCGGGUUGUAAAAAUCUUUUCUAUGGGAAGAAAAUGACAGUACCAUAGGAAUAAGGACCGGCUAAUUACGUGCCAGCAGCCGCGGUAAUACGUAAGGUCCGAGCGUUGUCCGGAAUCAUUGGGCGUAAAGGGUACGUAGGCGGGUAAGCAAGUUAGAAGUGAAAUCCUAUAGCUCAACUAUAGUAAGCUUUUAAAACUGCUCAUCUUGAGGUAUGGAAGCGAAAGUGGAAUUCCUAGUGUAGCGGUGAAAUGCGCAGAUAUUAGGAGGAAUACCGGUGGCGAAGGCGACUUUCUGGCCAUAACCUGACGCUGAGGUACGAAAGCGUGGGUAGCAAACAGG